Molecule: long non-coding RNA, 502 nt
Filed under: Androctonus crassicauda
Lineage: Eukaryota; Metazoa; Arthropoda; Arachnida; Scorpiones; Buthidae
Source: RNAcentral
AUUCAAAGAAACUUUCAUAAAAGCCUUGUAAAAUAAAAAAUUUUCACUGAAAAUUAUAGGAACCAUCAUCAUAGAUUAGUAUUUUUAAUAAGAAAUAUAAAUAAACUACAAAAAUUGCAUUAAUACAAAUAGGAUCCACAAAUUACAGCUUAAAAAUUUGCUGGUUUGUCACCACUUUCAUUGACGUGAUAUUGUGUCAGUAGCUUGUGACAGUAAAUGACAUUGGACGUCAUCACCUCAAUAGCAAUCAACAGGAUAAAAUAUGCUUGUAUUAUUAUUGGUUUCAGCAAUAAGAUCUUUGACAAAGUGGCUUUUAAAAUCAAAAACUUUAUUGUAAUAAAUGUAAGCAUAUUGUAUGACUUCAUGGGGAACAUUAUAAAGUAUAUUAAAGAUAGCAUAACGUUAAGAUUACAGAACAAUAGAAUUCUAAUAUUUUUAGCUGAUCUGUAAUUAAUAGGAAAUCAAGAAAUUGUUUUGAAUAUAGUGAAGUAUAUAAUAUUCC